Molecule: long non-coding RNA, 1432 nt
Organism: Artibeus jamaicensis (Jamaican fruit-eating bat)
Lineage: Eukaryota; Metazoa; Chordata; Mammalia; Chiroptera; Phyllostomidae
Exons: 3
Source: RefSeq, a predicted model, not a curated record
UUGUGCCAGCGCGUGGCUCGCGGGAUCUACGCGCUGGAAUCCCGAAUGCACUACUCGCCAGAACUCGUUCUGCUCCUGAAGAGGCUAGACAGAGUGAAGCUGUUUUGGGCAAAAUAAUCAGCAGGCCACUGAGGCACAUCUUGGGGUGGCUUGUUCUGGACCCCACCUCCCUGCCACAAGCCAAAGUGACACUUAAAUAGAUCAACAUUGUAGAGAUGGAGAGGAAGUUGUCCUUCUGGUUGUGCAAGGAGGCAAAGUGUAUCUACCUACACUUCCAUCUUGGCCAGAAGUCCAAAGACAAAAUCUUAAAAGCAGCAAGAGAAAAGCAGUUAGUUACCUACAAAGAAGCACCCAUAAUACUGUCAGCUGAUUUCUCAACAGAAACUUGUAGAUCAGAAGGGACUGGCAAGAAAUAUUCAAAGUGAUGAAAAGAAAAAACCUAUAAUCAAGAUUAUUCUACCCAGCAAAGUGUUAUGUAGAAUCAAAAAACAGAUAAAGAGCUUCCCAGACAUGAAAAAGCUAAAGGAGUUCAUCACCACUAAGCCAUUAUAUUAAAUGUUAAAGAAUCUUCUUUAAGAAAUAAAAAAAGAUAAAUAUAUAUUUAUAUAUACACAAAAAUGGUAAUAAGUACAUACCUAUCAUCAAAUGAAUCUAAAAAAUCAAACAAACGAACAUGCAGAAUGGGAAUAAACUCAGAUACACAGAACAUUUUGAAACUUGCCAGAUGGGAGGGGUGUUGGAGGGAUGCAUAAAAAAGGUGAAGGGAUUAUGAGUACAAAUUGCUUGUUACAGAAUAGUCAUGUGGAUGUAAAGUAUAGCCUAGGGAAUAUAGUUAAUAAUAUUGUAAUAACUAAAUGAAGUGUCAGAUGGGUACUAGAUAUAUUAGGAUGAUCAACAGUAAGUUAUAUAAUGUCCACUCACCGGGUGUACACUUGAAACUAAUACAAUAAUACAUGUCAACUGUAUUUUAAAAAAUGAUUUAAUAAUUAAAAGAAUAAUGAAUACCAGUAUAUAUAAGGAUGAUGAGUUAAAGAAACCAGACAGAAUACAGACUGAUUCCAUUUAUAUAUAUUUUUAAAAAAACCUACUCUGAGGGGCAUCAGAGAUUUAUCUGCCAUCAGUGAUUUAUUUGGGAAAGGCCAUGAAGGAAGCUUUGUGGAUACAGGAAUGUUACAUAGCUUGACCUGCGUGGUAAUUGUGCCAGUGUGUUCAGAUGUAAAAUUUUAUCAAGUCACACCUAAGAAUUGUACACUUUAUGCUUCAGUAAAAUAAGGGAGGAUAUUUAAAAUAAAAAAAUAUCAACAACUUAAAAAUUUUUUAAAUCAUGACCUUUACAAAGCAAAAGAAUUUUAAAUACUGAAAAAUAAAUCUGACAUAGUAUUGCAAAAUGUAUACAUUGAGGAUUAUAAACCAUUACUGAAAUUAAAGAACA